AGAGUUUGAUCCUGGCUCAGAACAAACGCUGGCGGCGUGCCUAACACAUGCAAGUCGUACGAGAAAGGGUCCUUCGGGACCUGAGUAAAGUGGCGCACGGGUGAGUAACGCGUGGAUAAUCUGCCCCUCAGUUGGGAAUAACUCAUCGAAAGGUGGGCUAAUACCGAAUAAUACUGCGAGACUUUGGUUGAGCAGUCAAAGAGAGCCUCUGCUUGCAUGCCCUCGCUGAAGGAUGAGUCCGCGUACCAUUAGCUAGUUGGCAGGGUAAUGGCCUACCAAGGCGACGAUGGUUAGCUGGUCUGAGAGGAUGAUCGGCCACACUGGAACUGAGAUACGGUCCAGACUCCUACGGGAGGCAGCAGUGAGGAAUCUUGCGCAAUGGGGGAAACCCUGACGCAGCAACGCCGCGUGAGUGAGGAAGGUCUUCGGAUCGUAAAGCUCUGUCAGUUGGGAAGAAAUGCCUGUUGGUUAAUACCCUUCAGGCUGACGUACCAACAGAGAG
Molecule: ribosomal RNA, 502 nt
Filed under: uncultured bacterium
Lineage: Bacteria
Description: bacterial SSU rRNA
Rfam family: Bacterial small subunit ribosomal RNA
Source: RNAcentral